Molecule: non-coding RNA, 521 nt
Filed under: Pongo abelii (Sumatran orangutan)
Lineage: Eukaryota; Metazoa; Chordata; Mammalia; Primates; Hominidae
Source: RNAcentral
CGCGGCGUCGCGGAAGGGGCGCGACCACCGUAGGUCCUGUUCCUGCGCUUCCCAAACUGGGCAGAAACGGCGAGAGGCUGGGGGUCAGAAACGCCAGGUUCCCGGCGGGCUGUACCGGGGCUUCGCUGUGUGACCUUGGGCUGGCGUCUCUGGGCCCUUGUUUCCGCGAGUUAAACGUAGGGGCGGGGGAGUUUCUCUGGCCCUGCCGCCUGUGACCUAAGGAGCCCCGUGACCUCUCCGACCCGAGCCCACCCCCGGCCCAGUCUGCGAGCAGCUCCAAGACAAGCACUCCCGGCGAAGACAUGUAGGCUCUCAGAGCCUGCGUUUCCCUCUGUAGAGCGGGCCUAGUUACUGUCUUCAGGGUGCACGCGUCUCCGUUCCCGACCCGCACCCUCACCGCCAGGAGAUGAUUUCUUAACCAGAAGAUACAGCAGGUUCAAAGUCCUGGAGGCCAGAAGGAGCUUGUAUUCAAGAAACAGAAAACGAAGUGUAAGAAAAUAUAUUUUCUCAAGGAAAUAUAA